GAUGAACGCUAGCUACAGGCUUAACACAUGCAAGUCGAGGGGAAACGGCAUUGAGUGCUUGCACUCUUUGGACGUCGACCGGCGCACGGGUGAGUAACGCGUAUCCAACCUUCCCAUUACUGUGGGAUAACCUGCCGAAAGGCAGACUAAUACCGCAUAGUCUUCGAUGACGGCAUCAGAUUUGAAGUAAAGAUUUAUCGGUAAUGGAUGGGGAUGCGUCUGAUUAGCUUGUUGGCGGGGUAACGGCCCACCAAGGCUACGAUCAGUAGGGGUUCUGAGAGGAAGGUCCCCCACAUUGGAACUGAGACACGGUCCAAACUCCUACGGGAGGCAGCAGUGAGGAAUAUUGGUCAAUGGACGGAAGUCUGAACCAGCCAAGUAGCGUGCAGGAUGACGGCCCUAUGGGUUGUAAACUGCUUUUGGAUGGGGAUAAAGUUAGGGACGUGUCCCUAUUUGCAGGUACCAUACGAAUAAGGACCGGCUAAUUCCGUG
This 492-nucleotide ribosomal RNA is filed under the name uncultured bacterium. RNAcentral's name for it is "partial 16S ribosomal RNA". It matches the Rfam family "Bacterial small subunit ribosomal RNA", at positions 28 to 507 of the family's 1533-position model. The record is from RNAcentral.